UUUAAUUAACUUGGUAACGCAGCUAACGCGUGAAGUAGACCGCCUGGGGAGUACGGUCGCAAGAUUAAAACUCAAAGGAAUUGACGGGGACCCGCACAAGCGGUGGAUGAUGUGGAUUAAUUCGAUGCAACGCGAAAAACCUUACCUACCCUUGACAUGUACGGAAGACCGAAGAGAUUUGGUUGUGCUCGAAAGAGAACCGUAACACAGGUGCUGCAUGGCUGUCGUCAGCUCGUGUCGUGAGAUGUUGGGUUAAGUCCCGCAACGAGCGCAACCCUUGUCAUUAGUUGCUACGAAAGGGCACUCUAAUGAGACUGCCGGUGACAAACCGGAGGAAGGUGGGGAUGACGUCAAGUCCUCAUGGCCCUUAUGGGUAGGGCUUCACACGUCAUACAAUGGUACAUACAGAGCGCCGCCAACCCGCGAGGGGGAGCUAAUCGCAGAAAGUGUAUCGUAGUCCGGAUUGUAGUCUGCAACUCGACUACAUGAAGUUGGAAUCGCUAGUAAUCGCGGAUCAGCAUGUCGCGGUGAAUACGUUCCCGGGUCUUGUACACACCGCCCGUCACACCAUGGGAGCGGGUUUUACCAGAAGUAGGUAGCUUAACCGCAAGGAGGGCGCUUACCACGGUAGGAUUCGUGACUGGGGUGAAGUCGUAACAAGGUAGCCGUAUCGGAAGGUGC
Molecule: ribosomal RNA, 681 nt
Filed under: uncultured bacterium
Lineage: Bacteria
Description: bacterial SSU rRNA
Rfam family: Bacterial small subunit ribosomal RNA
Source: RNAcentral